AUUAGACGUUCCCUUCGGGGACAUGGAUACAGGUGGUGCAUGGUUGUCGUCAGCUCGUGUCGUGAGAUGUUGGGUUAAGUCCCGCAACGAGCGCAACCCUUAUUAUCAGUUGCCAGCAUUAAGUUGGGCACUCUGGUGAGACUGCCGGUGACAAACCGGAGGAAGGUGGGGAUGACGUCAAAUCAUCAUGCCCCUUAUGACCUGGGCUACACACGUGCUACAAUGGAUGGUACAACGAGUUGCGAACUCGCGAGAGUAAGCUAAUCUCUUAAAGCCAUUCUCAGUUCGGAUUGUAGGCUGCAACUCGCCUACAUGAAGUCGGAAUCGCUAGUAAUCGCGGAUCAGCAUGCCGCGGUGAAUACGUUCCCGGGUCUUGUACACACCGA
This 386-nucleotide ribosomal RNA is filed under the name Lactiplantibacillus plantarum. Its description in RNAcentral is "bacterial SSU rRNA". It matches the Rfam family "Bacterial small subunit ribosomal RNA", at positions 1006 to 1393 of the family's 1533-position model. Lineage: Bacteria; Bacillati; Bacillota; Bacilli; Lactobacillales; Lactobacillaceae. The record is from RNAcentral.